Molecule: long non-coding RNA, 2816 nt
Filed under: Salmo salar (Atlantic salmon)
Lineage: Eukaryota; Metazoa; Chordata; Actinopteri; Salmoniformes; Salmonidae
Description: lncRNA (ENSSSAG00000086918.1)
Source: RNAcentral
UGUGGGGGCAGUUCAGUGUGCUUGCAGGUUAAUAUGCGCAUGUGCCUCUACUGUACAUGUGUCUAUUAAAGCAGAGUCAGUACUCAGAGAGAGACAGAGACAGACAGAGAGACAGAGAGAUAGACAGACAGACAGACAGACAGACAGACAGACAGACAGACAGACAGACAGACAGACAGACAGACAGACAGACAGACAGACAGACAGACAGACAGACAGACAGACAGACAGACAGACAGAGAGACAGAGAGACAGACAGACAGACAGACAGACAGACAGACAGACAGACAGACAGACAGACAGACAGACAGAGAGACAGACAGACAGACAGACAGACACCAUGUCUCCCUCCCAGUCCUCCCUACUGCUGCUGCUGAUGGUCUCCUGCUCCUGGGCCUCCCACUUCUUAGGAGGAACCAUGACCUUCAACCCCAGAGGGACCAACCCAGAUGGGACCUACAGGAUUGGAUAGCUGUUGCUGGAUAGACAAUGAUAAUGAUGUUUAUUUUUGGAGGCUGUUGACUCAUGUGGAUCUUGGGGUCAGGUCUGACACGGGGACAGUCAACCGAUCUCCACAGACCACUGUCAUACCUCUGAUGAGUGUCCCUGCUAAUUGUCAAAGAGAUUUCAACCUGUUGCUGUUUGAUCCAGAUGGGGAUAUGGUCAGAUGCAGAUACGCAGUACCAACGGAUGAGUGUUACACAUCAAGUGACCUUCCUAAUGACUUCACUCUACGAGAGAACUGCACCUUGUCAUUUUGGGGCAACAGUAAUACCACUGGAACAUAUGUAGUUCAGAUGGUGAUGGAGGAUUUCCCGACUCAGUCCAUCUCUCUCUCCUAUACUGACGGAUCUCAAUCUAACAGGACCUCAAACAAUACACUCUGCAAACUGCCUGUUCAGUUUGCAGUGAGAGUGGACCCCCCGGUGACAUCCUGUAUGGAGGGGCUGUACCUACCCAUGUUCCUGUCUCCAACACCAGCCCAGGGUGCACUGCUGUACGCCUCUGCAGACCAACCCCUGGAAAUCACUGUCAGAGCACAGGCUACCAACUCCACGGUUUCAGAGCUGUUGGUGAGUGGACCUUCCGGUAUCACAGAGAACACCACUGAUCCAGGAGAGUACCUUCUAAGAUGGACGCCCACUGAGGAUGAGGAGGGAGGGUACUAUCCUGUGUGCUUCAUCGCUCAGGGAGUGAACGACAGUUCCACGUACCACUCUGAGCUGCGCUGUGUGAUCGUCAGGGUUGGAAACACAAGCGGAGACGUUGUUGUACUGAGGACAAAAGUGUCCGCUCUGAUCCCACUGACAGAUAAUUACAUCAGAAACAUGGUGUUUCAGCAGCUCCGUGAGGAACUGAUCAGACUAGGGCUGCCAGGGGACUUCACGCUACGCCUGUUAGCCACUCAUGACAUCAGUCCCUGAGGGAGGAACAGGAAAUCAGCUCGACUUUCUUCACUUCUACUUGUCUUUUCUUCCUGGUUCUGAUUCUGCAGAUAGUUCUUUUGAAGAAGGAGUGAUUCCUUAUAAUGACAGAAUACGGUUGAUUUGUAAUAAUCUCCUGUGGGUUGCCAAGAUUAGUUGAAUUAACUGACACUACGUCUUACUGGAUGUUAGUUGAAUGAUUUAAAAGUAAAUGAUUUAUGUCUACAAGAAGAAAUGCAACAUAAAUAUGAUUGGUAAUGUACAGAGGUAGACUGAGGUUCUUUCCUGUUUGGUAAUGUACAGAGGUAGACUGAGGUUCUUUCCUGUAGACAGGUUAUUAAACAUUGGGAGAUAUAAUGUUGUUUUCCUUAAGGUGUGAAUCAUAUAGACUGUGUUUGAUUAGGCUUAGAGGACAAGGCCUUAGGAGGUUGAUAAUGAGACGUUAUAAUGGUAAAAUGUUAUAAUGUUGAAAUGUUUAAAAUAUUGAUGUAUUGAGAUAUAACUUGAGUAAUAAAUUAGGUUGUAGAAAGACUAUAAUUUAGUUAAAGGUAGGAGGGUGAAGGGAAUAGGAAAGUUUCAUGUUUGAAAAAUGUAUGUUUUAAGAAGUUGAUGUUCAUGAAGUAUAUUAAGGGUGCUAGCUUGAUCUGGAAAUCCCCAGGUCAGAGCAGCAAGUAGGUUGAAGCGUACGUUCUGCCUAGGUGGGAAAACGUGGAGGUUAGUGGGGGCUGAAAAAGCACCUUUUGAGAAGAUGGAUGCAUUCAUUAGGUGUUAACCACCGAAGGCAUCAGUGGAGCAGGUGGUCAUCCUGAUGAUUUAUCAGAAGAGGCAUUAAGGGUAUAAAGGAAGCAGGUUUCAUGGGAAGGGAAUGACUCUCUUUGAGUUUGCUAGAAGAACCUGUCGUCUGCUGGAGAAAGACUUUUACUGAAGCUUUUUAACUUCAGAUUCAUUUAGAUUUUUAAUAUACUUGGUUUUUUAUUCUGAAAGUGUUCUAGUACAUUCUAGGAGGAACCCUGAAUGUUACCUCAUUGAUAGGAGUGUUCUAGUACAUUCUAGGAGGAACCCUAAAGGUUACCUCAUUGAUAGGAGUGUUCUAGUACAUUUUAGGAGGAACCCUGAAGGUUACCUCAUUGAUAGAAGUGUUCUAGUACAUUUUAGGAGGAACCCUGAAGGUUACCUCACUGAUAGGAGUGUUCUAGUACAUUCUAGGAGGAACCCUGAAGGUUACCUCAUUGAUAGGAGUGUUCUAGUACAUUCUAGGAGGAACCCUAAAGGUUACCUCAUUGAUAGGAGUGUUCUAGUACAUUCUAGGAGGAACCCUGAAGGUUACCUCAUUGAUAGGAGUGUUCUAGUACAUUCUAGGAGGAGCCCUAAAGGUUACCUCACUGAUAGGAG